Molecule: ribosomal RNA, 422 nt
Filed under: uncultured bacterium
Lineage: Bacteria
Description: bacterial SSU rRNA
Rfam family: Bacterial small subunit ribosomal RNA
Source: RNAcentral
AAUCAACGCUGGCGGCGUGCCUAACACAUGCAAGUCGAACGAGAAGGUGACUUCGGUCACUGGAUAGUGGCGUCCGGGUGAGUAACACGUAGGUAAUCUACCUUCGGGUGGGGAAGUAACGUACUCGAAGAGACGCUAAUACCGCAUAAUGCAGCGGCACCUAAUAGGUGAUUAGUUGUUAAAGCGGGGGAGUCUUCGGACCUCGCGCCUGAAGAGGAGCCUGCGGCAGAUUAGCUAGUUGGUGAGGUAAUGGCUCACCAAGGCUUCGAUCUGUAGCUGGUCUGAGAGGACGGCCAGCCACACUGGCACUGACACACGGGCCAGACUCCUACGGGAGGCAGCAGUGGGGAAUUUUGGGCAAUGGGCGAAAGCCUGACCCAGCAACGCCGCGUGAAGGAGGAAAUCCUUCGGGAUGUAAACUU